AUGAUCUCAGGAGAUGUGUAUGGGUUCAGCUUGACAAGGGGUGGACUUACCAUGGUUAAUACUGAGUGUCAACUUGAUUGGAUUAAAGAUGCAAAGUAUUGAUCCUGGGUGUGUCUGUGAGGGUGUUGCCAAAGAAGAUUAACAUUUGGGUCAGCGGGCUGGAGAAGGCAGACCCACCCUUAAUCUGGUGGGCACCAUCUAAUCAGCUGCCAGCGAAUAUACAGCAGGAAGAAAAAGGUGAAAAGGCAAGACUGGCCUAGCCUCCCAGCCUACAUCUUUCUCCCAUGCUGGAUGCUUCCUGCCCUUGAACAUCAGACUCCAAGUUCUUCAGUUUUGAGACUUGGACUGGCUCUCCUUGCUCCUCAAGCUUGCAGACAGCCUAUUGUGGGACCUUGUGAUCAUGUUUUAGCACCUCUUACGAAUGAGUGUCUGAGCAGCCAAAAAAUAAAUAAUGAAUCAUCCAGGCAAAGGGGAAGAAAAAUGGACUUGGCCAGAGAUGGGGAAGAACGUACGCAAAAAGAUGAGGUCGUUCAGAUUGGAAGUUGGAUUGGAGGGCGGACCAAAGGAGAAGCUGCUGAAGUAGAUGUUAAAGAUGGAGAGAAGUGGACGGCAGAGACAUAGAGGAGGAAAAGUCAGCAAGACCCGAGAUGUGUAUGGAGAGUUAGAGUGUGGGAAGUGUGACAUGUAACUGAAUCGGAUGAUGGCAACUUUCACUGGGCAGUGAAAGGUCAGGUUGGUGGUAAAAGUCAUGAGUUGACUUUGGGGCAUCUUGAUAUAGUCACUUCCAAUAUCAUGUGUUUCAACAAGCCCGUGUUCCUUCCUGGUCAGUUCCCCCAGCUAGAGUGUGUUUUACAUCCCGCAGCAUUGUAUGAGAACUGCUAGAAUAUCACUCACCACUUCCCAUAGAGAUUCUGUUUGUUCAUCUGCUUGUCCCACUGUGUGCCUUACACAUAGUAGGUGCUCUUGGAAUGUGUGUGAGAUGGAUUAACAUGAGAAGUGCUUCUCUGCAUGAUUUCACCAUUGAAGUGUUGAAAGCAACUAGCACUCCUCCUUCCUGACCUCCAGGCUUCCACCCAGCUGUGGGGACUGCUGUGGUGGAAGGGCCUAGUCUGAAUCUGGACAGGGGAGGUGCCUGCAAAUAUUUUCGUGCCUGCAAAUAUUUUUGUGCCUCGGGACAGAUGGAUGUCCAGUUUACUGUCUGCUUCCUCAGUGGUUCUAGAGGUAAUUGCAUCCUGCUGUGUACAGUUAGGUCGUGGAGGAGACAGGCACCUUCUCUCGUCUUUCUGGAAGGUAACCAGAGGUCUUUCCCCUUUCCUAUCAUGGCAGCUGCUCAGUCGCAGGCUCCAGAUGUCUGCUUCAGAAUUCAAGAACACCUUCCUGAGCUGGGAAACAGAUCCAAGGAAAUAUCAGCCAGAGGCUUCAUUUUAUCAUCUGUGGAAAUGCAAGAUGUUAGAGCACCUAGGAGGGUCUUAACGUGCAAAACACUGUCUUGAGGCUGCCUGCAGAACAGAGGGUCAUCUGCUUUCAUUAGAUUCUCAAGGGAGCCUCAACAGGCUACACCUGAACCCCAGGUUUGGGGCAUCUCUCCAGCCCUCCCAGCUCUGACAUCAUCAUCACCAUUAACAGCUGAAAUGUGUGAGGUGGUUGGGAUGUACCAACAACCCUCCCAAGAGUCCCAUAUCUACCUGACCUCAUUUGACCUUCACAGCAACCCAGUGACUCAGCUGCUAUUUGGCCCACGUUUUACAAACCUGAGUCAGUGUGCUUUACCUCAGUGACCCAAGAACCCAGGUGCUAGAGUCAGGCCUGCAUCCAAAUCAGGGGUGGGAUCAGUGGUGUGCCCUGAACAAAUCAUUAUCCUCUUUUUUGUUUUAUUUUUUGGAGACAGAGUCUCACUCUGUCACCCAGGCUGGAGUGCAGUGGUACAGUCUCAGCUCACAGCAACCACUCUCUCCUGGGUUCAAGUGAUUCUCCUGUCUCAGCCUCCCAAGUAGCUGGGGACUACAGGUGCGUGCCACCACGCUCAGCUAAUUUUUGUGUUUUAGUAGAGACAGGGUUUCACCAUGUUGCCUAGGCUGGUCUCGAACUCCUGAGCUCAGGUGAUCCACCUGCCCCGGCCUCCCAAAGCACUAGGAUUACAGGCGUGAGCACCCCACCCAGCUCAUUACCCUCUUUUAACUUCAAUUUUCUCAUCCACAAAAUGAGGGCAAUAAUCUCCUUUCUUCCCCACUAGCCAUGUUCAUGAAAGUACUUAUUUGCCCAUUUUAAAAUAUGUAGCAAUGUGCCCCAGAAAGGCUGGGGCAUGAGUCCUGCUUGGGGUGGAGCAGGGAAGGCCUGCUCUGCCCCACUGGGGUGUCCUCAGAUGAAAGUGGGUGUGGGCUGACUUUCUCUGAGCUCCCUGUGGAGUCACACGGGGAACUGGGUUGAGUCACAGCACAAGGGCACUCACAUGCCCCACCCCGAGGAGGUCCCUGUUCUGACAGAAGCCCUGAGCCGUGACUGUGGACUGACACCCACUGCCUCUGUGACCUUGGGUGGGUUACAUAACCUCCCACAUGAGAAGGAGGCGGAGGCACCCGGGCUUGUGGCCUGAGCUAACCUGGGUAGUGGGAGCCCUAUCUGUGAAUUGCCAAGGGACUGCCAUGGGGACUGGUGAGAACACAGCUCUGCAAGGCCCUUUUGAUUUGUUUUAACCUUUAACUUUUCAAAAAUUUCAAAUUUAAAGGAUGCAUGACACAGUU
This 2741-nucleotide long non-coding RNA is filed under the name Homo sapiens (human). Its description in RNAcentral is "long independently transcribed non-coding RNA 1226 (LINC01226)". The record is from RNAcentral. Lineage: Eukaryota; Metazoa; Chordata; Mammalia; Primates; Hominidae.